CCUACGGGGGGCAGCAGUGGGGAAUAUUGGGCAAUGGGCGCAAGCCUGACCCAGCAACGCCGCGUGAAGGAAGAAGGCUCUCGGGUUGUAAACUUCUUUUAUCAGGGACGAAGCAAGUGACGGUACCUGAUGAAUAAGCCACGGCUAACUACGUGCCAGCAGCCGCGGUAAUACGUAGGUGGCAAGCGUUAUCCGGAUUUACUGGGUGUAAAGGGCGUGUAGGCGGGAAAGCAAGUCAGAUGUGAAAACCAUGGGCUCAACCUGUGGCCUGCCUUUGAAACUGGUUUACUUGAGUACUGGAGAGGCAGGCGGAAUUCCUAGUGUAGCGGUGAAAUGCGUAGAUAUUAGGAGGAACACCAGUGGCGAAGGCGGUCUGCUGGACAGCAACUGACGCUGAGGCGCGAAAGCGUGGGGAGCAAACAGGAUUAGAUACCCGGGUAGUC
Molecule: ribosomal RNA, 443 nt
Filed under: uncultured bacterium
Lineage: Bacteria
Description: partial 16S ribosomal RNA
Rfam family: Bacterial small subunit ribosomal RNA
Source: RNAcentral